Molecule: ribosomal RNA, 446 nt
Filed under: uncultured bacterium
Lineage: Bacteria
Description: partial 16S ribosomal RNA
Rfam family: Bacterial small subunit ribosomal RNA
Source: RNAcentral
CCUACGGGUGGCUGCAGUCGAGAAUCAUUCACAAUGGGGGAAACCCUGAUGGUGCGACGCCGCGUGGGGGAAUGAAGGUCUUCGGAUUGUAAACCCCUGUCAUGUGGGAGCAAAUUAAAAAGAUAGUACCACAAGAGGAAGAUACGGCUAACUCUGUGACAGCAGCCGCGGUAAUACAGAGGUCUCAAGCGUUGUUCGGAAUCACUGGGCGUAAAGGGUUCGGAGGCUGUUUCGUAAGUCGUGUGUGAAAGGCGCGGGCUCAACCCGCGGACGGCACAUGAUACUGCGAGACUAGAGUAAUGGAGGGGGAACCGGAAUUCUCGGUGUAGCAGUGAAAUGCGUAGAUAUCGAGAGGAACACUCGUGGCGAAGGCGGGUUCCUGGACAUUAACUGACGCUGAGGCACGAAGGCCAGGGGAGCGAAAGGGAUUAGAUACCCUUGUAGUC